GGUUAAGCGACUAAGCGUACACGGUGGAUGCCCUGGCAGUCAGAGGCGAUGAAGGACGUGCUAAUCUGCGAAAAGCGUCGGUAAGGUGAUAUGAACCGUUACAGCCGGCGAUGUCCGAAUGGGGAAACCCAGUGCAAUUCGUUGCACUAUCGUUAACUGAAUACAUAGGUUAACGAGGCGAACCGGGGAACUGAAACAUCUAAGUACCCCGAGGAAAGAAAUCAACCGAGAUUCCCCAGUAGCGGCGAGCGAACGGGGAGCAGCCCAGAGUCUGAAUCAGCUUGUGUGUUAGUGGAACGGUCUGGAAAGUCCGACGGUACAGGGUGAUAGUCCCGUACACCAAAAUGCACAGGUUGUGAACUCGAAGAGUAGGGCGGGACACGUGGUAUCCUGUCUGAAUAUGGGGGACCAUCCUCCAAGGCUAAAUACUCCUGACUGACCGAUAGUGAACCAGUACCGUGAGGGAAAGGCGAAAAGAACCCCGGCGAGGGGAGUGAAAAAGAACCUGAAACCGUGUACGUACAAGCAGUGGGAGCACCUUCGGGUGUGACUGCGUACCUUUGUAUAAUGGGUCAGCGACUUAUAUUCUGUAGCAAGGUUAACCGUAUAGGGAGCCGCAGGGAAACCGAGUCUUAACUGGGCGUUAAGUUGCAGGGUAUAGACCCGAAACCCGGUGAUCUAGCCAUGGGCAGGUUGAAGGUUGGGUAACACUAACUGGAGGACCGAACCGACUAAUGUUGAAAAAUUAGCGGAUGACUUGUGGCUGGGGUGAAAGGCCAAUCAAACCGGGAGAUAGCUGGUUCUCCCCGAAAGCUAUUUAGGUAGCGCCUCGUGAACUCAUCUUCGGGGUAGAGCACUGUUUCGGCUAGGGGUCAUCCCGACUUACCAACCCGAUGCAAACUACGAAUACCGAAGAAUGUUAUCACGGGAGACACACGGCGGGUGCUAACGUCCGUCGUGAAGAGGAAACAACCCAGACCGCCAGCUAAGGUCCCAAAGUCAUGGUUAAGUGGGAAACGAUGUGGGAAGGCACAGACAGCCGGGAUGUUGGCUUAGAAGCAGCCAUCAUUUAAAGAAAGCGUAAUAGCUCACUGGUCGAGUCGGCCUGCGCGGAAGAUGUAACGGGGCUAAACCAUGCACCGAAGCUGCGGCAGCGACACUAUGUGUUGUUGGGUAGGGAGCGUUCUGUAAGCCUGCGAAGGUGUGCUGUGAGGCAUGCUGGAGGUAUCAGAAGUGCGAAUGCUGACAUAAGUAACGAUAAAGCGGGUGAAAAGCCCGCUCGCCGGAAGACCAAGGGUUCCUGUCCAACGUUAAUCGGGGCAGGGUGAGUCGACCCCUAAGGCGAGGCCGAAAGGCGUAGUCGAUGGGAAACAGGUUAAUAUUCCUGUACUUGGUGUUACUGCGAAGGGGGACGGAGAAGGCUAUGUUAGCCGGGCGACGGUUGUCCCGGUUUAAGCAUGUAGGCUGGUUAUCCAGGCAAAUCCGGAUAAUCAAGGCUGAGGUGUGAUGACGAGGCACUACGGUGCUGAAGUAACAAAUACCCUGCUUCCGGGGAAAAGCCUCUAAGCAUCAGGUAACAUCAAAUCGUACCCCAAACCGACACAGGUGGUCAGGUAGAGAAUACCAAGGCGCUUGAGAGAACUCGGGUGAAGGAACUAGGCAAAAUGGUGCCGUAACUUCGGGAGAAGGCACGCUGGUGUGUAGGUGAAGUCCCUGCGGAUGGAGCUGAGACCAGUCGAAGAUACCAGCUGGCUGCAACUGUUUAUUAAAAACACAGCACUGUGCAAACACGAAAGUGGACGUAUACGGUGUGACGCCUGCCCGGUGCCGGAAGGUUAAUUGAUGGGGUUAUCCGUAAGGAGAAGCUCUUGAUCGAAGCCCCGGUAAACGGCGGCCGUAACUAUAACGGUCCUAAGGUAGCGAAAUUCCUUGUCGGGUAAGUUCCGACCUGCACGAAUGGCGUAAUGAUGGCCAGGCUGUCUCCACCCGAGACUCAGUGAAAUUGAACUCGCUGUGAAGAUGCAGUGUACCCGCGGCAAGACGGAAAGACCCCGUGAACCUUUACUAUAGCUUGACACUGAACAUUGAGCCUUGAUGUGUAGGAUAGGUGGGAGGCUUUGAAGCGUGGACGCCAGUCUGCGUGGAGCCAACCUUGAAAUACCACCCUUUAAUGUUUGAUGUUCUAACGUUGGCCCCUGACCGGGGUUGCGGACAGUGUCUGGUGGGUAGUUUGACUGGGGCGGUCUCCUCCCAAAGCGUAACGGAGGAGCACGAAGGUUAGCUAAUCCUGGUCGGACAUCAGGAGGUUAGUGCAAUGGCAUAAGCUAGCUUGACUGCGAGCGUGACGGCGCGAGCAGGUGCGAAAGCAGGUCAUAGUGAUCCGGUGGUUCUGAAUGGAAGGGCCAUCGCUCAACGGAUAAAAGGUACUCCGGGGAUAACAGGCUGAUACCGCCCAAGAGUUCAUAUCGACGGCGGUGUUUGGCACCUCGAUGUCGGCUCAUCACAUCCUGGGGCUGAAGUAGGUCCCAAGGGUAUGGCUGUUCGCCAUUUAAAGUGGUACGCGAGCUGGGUUUAGAACGUCGUGAGACAGUUCGGUCCCUAUCUGCCGUGGGCGCUGGAGAAUUGAGGGGGCUGCUCCUAGUACGAGAGGACCGGAGUGGACGCAUCACUGGUGUUCGGGUUGUCAUGCCAAUGGCACUGCCCGGUAGCUAAAUGCGGAAGAGAUAAGUGCUGAAAGCAUCUAAGCACGAAACUUGCCCCGAGAUGAGUUCUCCCUGAGACUAUAAGUCUCCUGAAGGAACGUUAAAGACGAUGACGUUGAUAGGCCGGGUGUGUAAGCGCAGCGAUGCGUUGAGCUAACCGGUACUAAUGAACCGUGAGGCUUAACCUU
RNAcentral lists this ribosomal RNA (2890 nucleotides) under Klebsiella pneumoniae. RNAcentral's name for it is "23S ribosomal RNA". It matches the Rfam family "Bacterial large subunit ribosomal RNA". The record is from RNAcentral. Lineage: Bacteria; Pseudomonadati; Pseudomonadota; Gammaproteobacteria; Enterobacterales; Enterobacteriaceae.